AAGAGGGGAGACAAAGCCCAUGUCCCAUUUACUUAGAGGCUGAAUUUGGUACUUGGCCCAUUAAGCAUGAAUUAUUCACGGUUUAUUACUGCAGUAAGUGCAGCAAGAAAAGCAUCUCCAAUAAGAGUCCUCACUGAAUUGAUGCAGAGGUCUCCUCCAUCAUUAAUCUCCCUGGCAGGAGGAGCACCCAAUCCCAAUACCUUUCCUUUCAAAACCGCUACCAUUACCGUUGGGGAUGGAAGAAAGAUUGAAAUCGGGGAAGAUUUGAUGAAGCGAGCGCUCCAGUAUUCUGCCUCUGCGGGCAUUCCAGAGCUGCUGUCGUGGUUAAAGGAUUUACAGAAGAGUCUCCAUAACCCUCCAACAGUUGACUAUAGGCCUGAUGAUGGACAAAUGGAGUUAUGUGUCACCACCGGCAGCCAAGAAGGGUUAUGUAAAGUGUUUGAAAUGCUUAUUAAUCCUGGGGACAAUAUACUUUUGGAUGCACCUUCCUAUCCUGGAACACUAGCUGCUCUGAGACCAUUGGGCUGUAACAUCAUCAAUGUCCCCAGUGACCAACAUGGUAUUAUUCCAAAAGCCCUGAAAGACAUUCUUUCUAGGUGGAGUCCAGAAGAUGCAAAACAACUCAACGGCCAUGUCCCCAAAUUUCUCUAUACAAUUCCUAAUGGGGGGAAUCCUACUGGCGCCUCAUUGACAGCAGACCGCAAGAAAGAGAUCUAUCAGCUUGCGAGGCAGUAUGACUUCCUCAUAAUAGAAGAUGAUCCAUAUUACUUUCUUCAGUUUAAUAAGCCUUGGGCACCAACCUUUCUUUCAAUGGACACUGAUGGCCGAGUUAUCAGAACUGACUCCUUCUCCAAGAUCCUGUCUUCUGGGUUAAGAAUUGGAUUUCUAACAGGCCCCAAACCUCUCAUUGACAGAGUUAUUCUACAUAUACAGGUUUCCACAAUGCAUACCAGUACUUUCACUCAGCUUAUGAUAGCCCAACUUCUUCAACAGUGGGGACAAAAUGGUUUCCUGGACCACGUAGACAGCGUGGUGGAUUUUUACAAGAAACAGCGGGAUGUAAUGCUUACAGCAGCAGACAGGUGGCUAAAAGGACUAGCAGACUGGCACACACCUGCAGCUGGAAUGUUCCUAUGGAUUAAAAUUAAGGGAGUUUCUGAUACACAGGAGCUGAUCAUGAAAAAAGCGUUAGAGAAACAAGUGCUGCUGGUUCCUGGAAGAGCGUUUAACAUCAACAGUUCCGAUCUCAGCCCUUAUGUCAGAGCUUCCUUCUCACUGUCUACUCCAAACCAGAUUGAUCAGGGUUUUCAACGUUUGGCUGAACUCAUCAAAGAAGCUGUAUGAUUUCACCAAGUGAAAUUCCUGAAAAAGCUAGAGAAGGUUCAGGAGAAACUCAACUUGGGUUUCCAACUCUCUUCAUAGUAUUCAGUGAUGUGAAAUGCUUAAAGGGCUCUUGCGUCAUGCACGUUUGUAAUGCAAAUACGAAACUCCGCAUUGACCAGAAUGCUGAUUCAUAUUACAAACACCUCUUACCGGGUUUCUUUUCUGCGCGAGCAACAAUCAAAUCUUAACAUAAAUAAUGCAACAGAAGCUCAAAGAUUAUUGCGUAAAAAUGCUCUGAGCCAUGGCUUUGAGGACACGAUCUCUGUAUUCUUAUUCCUUAAGAAGAUGUGCCAUAUAGAAACAAUAAUAAUUUCAGCUUGAAAGUGUUGUCAGAAGAGUUGUGCUGAUGCUUCAUGUUCAACAAGGCAUAAUUUUUUUUGCAGAAUGGAUCUUUGGACAUUUGACACAAACAAGCACAACUGUGACAUGAUCUCCAUUCAUUAGGAUAGCAUUUGACAAUACAACUGAGAAGUUUCCAGACACGGUCCAUAAUGUUUGAUUUGGGCUGAUUCUGAAUAAAAG
Elgaria multicarinata webbii is the source of this 1905-nucleotide RNA transcript. It is a transcript of the gene named aminoadipate aminotransferase, with no coding region annotated. Lineage: Eukaryota; Metazoa; Chordata; Lepidosauria; Squamata; Anguidae. The transcript has 15 exons. The record is from RefSeq and is a predicted model, not a curated record.